AUGGAGAUCUGGGUAGCCGACCCCAAGGCAACACCGAGGGUGAUGUCCAGCUUGUUCUUCAGGGCGAAGAUCACGGCUCCGGCGUGCUCCGCCGCGUUACCAACGAUGGGGAGCAGGAUGAUGCUGAUGAAGCUCACCGAGAGACCCCACGACUGCGAGGUCGGCUCGAUGGUGCCGACAACGUACUCGGAGAGCACGGCGAUUAUGAUGGUCAUGAGGAUGAGCCAGAAGAGCGCGCUCCCAAAGCCGAGGACCGCCUCUUCCUCAUCAUCAUCGCCGCCCUCAAUCUCCUGCGGCUCGAAGAGCUGGCGAUGCGUCUUGAGCUGGAAGAAGAGGUAG
This 339-nucleotide ribosomal RNA is filed under the name Triticum aestivum (bread wheat). RNAcentral describes it as "partial small subunit ribosomal RNA". The record is from RNAcentral. Lineage: Eukaryota; Viridiplantae; Streptophyta; Magnoliopsida; Poales; Poaceae.